This 528-nucleotide ribosomal RNA is filed under the name uncultured bacterium. RNAcentral's name for it is "bacterial SSU rRNA". It matches the Rfam family "Bacterial small subunit ribosomal RNA", at positions 442 to 986 of the family's 1533-position model. The record is from RNAcentral.
GGGACGAUAAUGACGGUACCUGGAGAAUAAGCACCGGCUAACUUCGUGCCAGCAGCCGCGGUAAUACGAAGGGUGCAAGCGUUACUCGGAAUUACUGGGCGUAAAGCGUGCGUAGGCGGUUCGUUAAGUCCGAUGUGAGAGCCCUGGGCUCAACCUGGGAACUGCAUUGGAAACUGGCGGGCUGGAGUGCGGUAGAGGGUGGCGGAAUUCCCGGUGUAGCAGUGAAAUGCGUAGAUAUCGGGAGGAACACCCGUGGCGAAGGCGGCCACCUGGACCAGCACUGACGCUGAGGCACGAAAGCGUGGGGAGCAAACAGGAUUAGAUACCCUGGUAGUCCACGCCCUAAACGAUGCGAACUGGAUGUUGGGUGCAACUUGGCACUCAGUAUCGAAGCUAACGCGUUAAGUUCGCCGCCUGGGAAGUACGGUCGCAAGACUGAAACUCAAAGGAAUUGACGGGGGCCCGCACAAGCGGUGGAGUAUGUGGUUUAAUUCGAUGCAACGCGCAGAACCUUACCAGCUCUUGACA